Molecule: long non-coding RNA, 1173 nt
Filed under: Gadus morhua (Atlantic cod)
Lineage: Eukaryota; Metazoa; Chordata; Actinopteri; Gadiformes; Gadidae
Description: lncRNA (ENSGMOG00000027616.1)
Source: RNAcentral
AUGUCUGAUGAAGAGCGUGACCGUUCAAUGGAGGGGCAAUUUAGGGCCUUAACUGAGCUGGUUAAGCAGCUUCAGGCAGACAAUGAGCGGUUAAAGGGGGGCAGGCCAUCUCCUAAUGAGGAGGGAGGAGAGAGAGCAACUCUUGCUAGUGGAGCAGAGAGAUACAUUUACUUACCCCGAGAAAGAAAAUGCCCUAGAUUCUCAGGACAAGCUACUGAUCCCAUGCCAGUGAGAGAAUGGGUAGAGGGAGCCCGUAGAGCUGUGGGAGGACGACACAUGUCGCGGGGAGAACAAGCAUUGUUUAUACUGGACCACCUUGAUGGGGAGGCAAAGAAGGAAAUCAGAUUUCGCCCAUCCACUGAUAGGAGUAAUCCAGAUAAAAUAUUGGAAAUAUUGAUUGAGAUUUUUGGGUGUACCAAAUCUUUCAUUACUUUACAAAAACAAUUCUUCCAGAGGAAACAGCUAGAGGGGGAAUCUGUCCGUGAAUUUUCACAUGCUCUUUUGACUAGCAUGGAAGCCAUCAAAUGUAGCAACCCAAAUGGUAUCCAUAACCCUGAUGGUAUGGUAAGGGACCAGUUUGUCGAAAAUGUAAGAGAUGGGUUGUUGCGCAGAGAGCUCAAACGUUCAAUAAGACUUGACCCUGAAUCUUCUUUCUUUGCAAUUCGCAGCGAGGCUGUCCGCUGGGUAGAGGAAGGAGAGCAUCCAAGUACUCCACGAGGCAGGGCCUACUCGUGUGACUCUAGAAUGCAAGUACUGGGUGAGUGUAGCUCAGAAAGACAUACUACAUCUGUAAGGCCAGUAGAUGACCUAGCUGAACUAAAAGAGUGUUUCCGUAAUCAACAAGCACAACUAAAUGCUAUUCUAGAGAGAUUAGGCCCCUCUUCUUAUCCCACUGAGAGACUAGGCCCUUCUUCCUACCCCACCGAGAGACUAGGCCCCUCUUCUUACCCCACUGCCCCGCGACAAGGCCCAAAUGGCCCCCACCGGAAGCCUCCUCGAUUCCAACCUGAUGGCCAACCAAUCUGUUUGCGCUGUGACCAGCCGGGUCACAUUGCCAGGUUUUGUUCCGCAUCCAGUAGACAUAAUGCAGGGCCUGCUGGGCGGAGGGAAACGACUGCCUCCAGUCAAAUAGUAGAGGGGUUGACCAACAUGGCUAGCCAACAGGAAAACUAG